AACGAACGCUGGCGGCGCGCUUAACACAUGCAAGUCGAACGAGAAGGUGUAGCAAUACGCUUGUAAAGUGGCGAACGGGUGAGGAAUACAUGGGUAACCUACCCUCGAGUGGGGGAUAACCCGCCGAAAGGCGGGCUAAUACCGCGUACGCUUCCGAUCUUCCGGGAUCGGAAGGAAAGCUGUCCCAAGGGGAUGGCGCUCAAGGAUGGGCUCAUGUCCUAUCAGCUUGUUGGUAGGGAACGGCCUACCAAGGCAUCGACGGGUAGCUGGUCUGAGAGGACGAUCAGCCACACUGGCACUGCGACACGGGCCAGACUCCUACGGGAGGCAGCAGUGAGGAAUAUUGCGCAAUGGGCAAAGCCUGACGCAGCGACGCCGCGUGAGGGAUGAAGGUCUUCGGAUUGUAAACCUCUUUCAGGAGGGACGAAGGUUC
RNAcentral lists this ribosomal RNA (433 nucleotides) under uncultured bacterium. RNAcentral describes it as "bacterial SSU rRNA". It matches the Rfam family "Bacterial small subunit ribosomal RNA", at positions 29 to 454 of the family's 1533-position model. The record is from RNAcentral.